RNAcentral lists this small nucleolar RNA (87 nucleotides) under Coniophora puteana RWD-64-598 SS2. Its description in RNAcentral is "Small nucleolar RNA snR60/Z15/Z230/Z193/J17". It matches the Rfam family "Small nucleolar RNA snR60/Z15/Z230/Z193/J17". Rfam says of the family: The members of this family belong to the C/D class of snoRNAs which contain the C (UGAUGA) and D (CUGA) box motifs. Most of the members of the box C/D family function in directing site-specific 2'-O-methylation of substrate RNAs. The family includes the yeast snoRNA snR60 (also known as Z15) and the corresponding human guide snoRNA U80 (SNORD80). Lineage: Eukaryota; Fungi; Basidiomycota; Agaricomycetes; Boletales; Coniophoraceae. The record is from Rfam by way of RNAcentral.
CCUACGAUGAUACUUGAAAUCAUGCAUAGUUCACACUGAAACUAAAGUGUUGACAACCAUACAUCUUUGUCUUUCGCUCCUAUCUGA